AAGCUCGUAGUUGAAUUUCGGGGUCAGUAGGUUGGUCGUGCCACCGGUACGUACUGGUCUCACUGAUUCCUCCUUCCUGAUGAGCUGUAAUGCCAUUAAUUUGGUGUUGCAGGGAAUCUGGACUGUUACUUUGAAAAAAUUAGAGUGUUUAAAGCAGGCUAACGCUUGAAUACAUUAGCAUGGAAUAAUGAAAUAGGACGUUCGAUCCUAUUUUGUUGGUUUCUUAGGAUUGACGUAAUGAUUAAUAGGGAUAGUUGGG
This 259-nucleotide ribosomal RNA is filed under the name uncultured Glomus. RNAcentral's name for it is "partial 18S ribosomal RNA". It matches the Rfam family "Eukaryotic small subunit ribosomal RNA", at positions 624 to 886 of the family's 1831-position model. The record is from RNAcentral. Lineage: Eukaryota; Fungi; Glomeromycota; Glomeromycetes; Glomerales; Glomeraceae.